Molecule: ribosomal RNA, 482 nt
Filed under: Enterococcus casseliflavus
Lineage: Bacteria; Bacillati; Bacillota; Bacilli; Lactobacillales; Enterococcaceae
Description: bacterial SSU rRNA
Rfam family: Bacterial small subunit ribosomal RNA
Source: RNAcentral
GACGAACGCUGGCGGCGUGCCUAAUACAUGCAAGUCGAACGCUUUUUCUUUCACCGGAGCUUGCUCCACCGAAAGAAAAAGAGUGGCGAACGGGUGAGUAACACGUGGGUAACCUGCCCAUCAGAAGGGGAUAACACUUGGAAACAGGUGCUAAUACCGUAUAACACUAUUUUCCGCAUGGAAGAAAGUUGAAAGGCGCUUUUGCGUCACUGAUGGAUGGACCCGCGGUGCAUUAGCUAGUUGGUGAGGUAACGGCUCACCAAGGCAACGAUGCAUAGCCGACCUGAGAGGGUGAUCGGCCACACUGGGACUGAGACACGGCCCAGACUCCUACGGGAGGCAGCAGUAGGGAAUCUUCGGCAAUGGACGAAAGUCUGACCGAGCAACGCCGCGUGAGUGAAGAAGGUUUUCGGAUCGUAAAACUCUGUUGUUAGAGAAGAACAAGGAUGAGAGUAGAACGUUCAUCCCUUGACGGAUCUAAC